AAUAUUAAAUUUCAUAUUUUAAGUUUUAAAUUUUAAAUUUCAAAAUUUUAAAUUUUACAUUUAGGUAUUAAAUUUUAAAUUUAAAGAUAAAAUUUAAAUUUAAAUAUUAAAUUUUAAAAUUUUAAGGUUUAAUUUUUAAAUUUCAAAACUUAAAAUUUCAAUAUUCAAAUUUAAAUUUUAAAUUUACUAUCACGCCCCGGAUUACUCGUUUUCCCGGGCUCGCUAACAGACCCGCCGUAUACAUAGGUAUUUCCCCUGUAUACGAAGCGAAAAAGUAGUAGUACCUGUAAUCAUACAAUACUACAAACAGUAGUAUAGAGCAGCUAGGAAAAUAAACCAUAUAUAAAAACGGUGGUUCAAUACAUGUCAUCCAAAGUAUACAAAUACUCGCUCUGGCGAGAAACAACAACUGUAUGUAAAAACCCAAAAACUACAAUUACCUGUAGCUGGUGCUCCUCUAGCUCUGUAACUCAACUGGGAGGGCUCUAACUCGCGACGCCCUUGCCACGAUCAAGAUCAGUAACAGCAGCAGCCGAAGGCGACGGCUCUGCAAAAACAGUGGUAACAACAGAGCAUGAGAACUAUUGUAAAAACAAGUAGUCCUCAGUGGGUACCGCCCUCAAACACAUCGGUCCACCCACUAAGUCUACAGGAAUAAGCAGGAAUAGUAAAGAAAGCGGGAACAAAUCUACAGUUAAAUACCGCUAUACUAUCAUGCUUUAACUCUAACCAUCUAUAGAACAGUGUCAACUCAGACCCAAUCUCAAAUAAGGACUGUAAUCAUACCCGUCCCUGGUAUUGUGAACACACCCCUUCCGCCCGGUUGCGACUAUAUAGCUACCUCCACACUAACCAGUCCGUGGAGAGCAAGUCCAACAUACACGAACGACACCAAUGCAAACGCACUAAGCCCGACUUCGGAGUGGCACUCGUGGGCGCUACCCAACCAAGUAUGCAAGCGUAUCUCUGUCGAGCUCAAUCAGGCUCUAUCAAGCCAAAGACAAGUAGCUAGGGUCUCAAUCCAUGCUCGAACAGAUAAACUCGAUGCGCCUCAUCCCUGGCCACGAACGGCACACAGUUCAGGAGUCGAGUGAACUCCCGAAUGUACUCCUGGACUGUCCGCUCGCCCUGCUAAAUCCUCUUCAGAUCCUCUUCGAGCUUCUAUUUCACACUGUUGGGAAAAUACAUCCCGAACAGCAUUUCACAGAACUCGUCCCACUUUAGCUGCAACGCCACUAAUCCAUAGUCUUGUCUCACCCUCCUCCACUAGGCGUGAGCAUCGCCAACUAAGCAGUGUACACCCAAGGACACCUGCUCCUUCUCAGGAAUGAACAAAUCCUCGAACAACUUCUCCAUCGCAUUGACCCAGCCCUCAACAACCCAGGCCUCAGUGCAACUGCCAUCAAAGGUCGGUGGAUCAAAACGGCGAAAACGAGCCAACCUCUCUGUCAUCCGCUCCUGCUCGGCCUCAGUCAUCUAUACCGGCCCUCUAGGAGGCGUAACUGGUGCUGCGGGAAUAUCCACUGGUGGGGGUACAGCUGCAGCUGGUGCUGCCGCUGGAGUAGUCGGAGGUGGAACUGACGGCUCUGGUGCUCUCGGUGCCGUACUCUAUGGCGGAGCUAACCUCUCGCACAUUCUCUGUAGCAACUCCCCCUGCUGUCUCGUCACCUCUGUCAGGGCGGCUAUCUGCGCACUCAAAUCAGGGGAUGCUCUCGCCUCAGGUGGUGCACUCGGCUCUGCCUGCUCAGGCAUCUCAGGCGGUACGGCAUGAUCCCUGAGCGACGGUCGACCUCGGCGACAAUACAUAGCUGUAAAGAACAAAACAGGGGUCAGAUACAACAAAACACUCUCGACCCAAUCAAACGAAAGUCUAGAAGGCGGCCGCUGUUUCUCCUCAAAAUUAUGUCGUCUGUAGCCAACAUAAUUUCUCAGGCCAAAACAGAAACUCCUUCAAUCACUCACUCCACUCUAGGAGGAGUUAGAACAACGAAUCGUUGACUUUCGCGAUAAAUCACGCCUCUCGCGUCUUGCCUUCCUAAGGUUUGCCAAACUUAGGGUUCCUAGGUCCGAACGACCUACAGCUAAGCUCUGAUACCAACUUAAUCUGUCACGCCCCGGAUUACUCGUUUUCCCGGGCUCGCUAACAGACCCGCCGUAUACAUAAGUAUUUCCUCUGUAUACGAAGCGAAAAAGUAGUAGUACCUGUAAUCAUACAAUACUACAAACAGUAGUAUAGAGCAGCU
This 2243-nucleotide long non-coding RNA is filed under the name Ananas comosus (pineapple). RNAcentral describes it as "long non-coding RNA (ACOM_LNC010351)". The record is from RNAcentral. Lineage: Eukaryota; Viridiplantae; Streptophyta; Magnoliopsida; Poales; Bromeliaceae.